Molecule: transfer RNA, 67 nt
Filed under: Bolivaritettix lativertex
Lineage: Eukaryota; Metazoa; Arthropoda; Insecta; Orthoptera; Tetrigidae
Also listed under: 1 other name
Description: tRNA-Ser
Source: RNAcentral
AAUUAAUAAGCUAAUAAGCAAGUGUUUUGAAAGCACUAAAUUAGAAGUUUAAAUCUUCUAUUAAUUU